GAAGAAAAUGACCCGGGUUUACAUAGU
This 27-nucleotide non-coding RNA is filed under the name Rattus norvegicus (Norway rat). The record is from RNAcentral. Lineage: Eukaryota; Metazoa; Chordata; Mammalia; Rodentia; Muridae.